Molecule: ribosomal RNA, 463 nt
Filed under: uncultured bacterium
Lineage: Bacteria
Description: partial 16S ribosomal RNA
Rfam family: Bacterial small subunit ribosomal RNA
Source: RNAcentral
GAUGAACGCUGACAGAAUGCUUAACACAUGCAAGUCUUUGGCGAAGCUGUGCUUGCACAGCCUAGCCAAGGCGGACGGGUGAGUAACGCGUAAGGAACUUGCCCUGCAGUCAGGGAUAACAGACGGAAACGACUGAUAAGACCUGGUAAAGUCAGGCGGACUCAUGUCCAGCCUGAUGAAAAGAGAUGCUGCAGGAGAGCCUUGCGUCCUAUUAGCUUGUUGGUGGGGUAACGGCCCACCAAGGCGAUGAUAGGUAGCCGGCCUGAGAGGGUGGACGGCCACAAGGGGACUGAGAUACGGCCCUUACUCCUACGGGAGGCAGCAGUGGGGAAUAUUGGACAAUGGGGGCAACCCUGAUCCAGCGAUUCUGUGUGCACGAUGAAGGUUUUCGGAUUGUAAAGUGCUUUCAGCAGGGAAGAAAAAAAUGACGGUACCUGCAGAAGAAGCGACGGCUAAAUACGUG